This 58-nucleotide transfer RNA is filed under the name Neotoma lepida (desert woodrat). It matches the Rfam family "tRNA", at positions 8 to 63 of the family's 71-position model. Rfam says of the family: Transfer RNA (tRNA) molecules are approximately 80 nucleotides in length. Lineage: Eukaryota; Metazoa; Chordata; Mammalia; Rodentia; Cricetidae. The record is from Rfam by way of RNAcentral.
UGGCUCAGUGGUUCAGAGCACUGGCUGCUCUUCCAGAGGUCCUGGGUUCAAUUCCCAG